RNAcentral lists this non-coding RNA (418 nucleotides) under Dracunculus medinensis (Guinea worm). Its description in RNAcentral is "Eukaryotic large subunit ribosomal RNA". It matches the Rfam family "Eukaryotic large subunit ribosomal RNA", at positions 2554 to 2993 of the family's 3401-position model. Lineage: Eukaryota; Metazoa; Nematoda; Chromadorea; Rhabditida; Dracunculidae. The record is from Rfam by way of RNAcentral.
GAAAAACUCCAUUUGUACCAGAAUUCACAUCAGAGACUGGAGUCAAAGGCAAUGUCAGCUGAAUUUUUACUGGGAUAGACUGCUAGUACAUAACGAAAAUGCCCUAAGGCUAGUUCAAAGGGGACGGAAACUUUUCAUAAAGUAAGAGAACAAAAGCUCGCUUGAUCUCGAUUUUUAGUGCAAUUACAGACGAAAGCAUAGCCUAUCAAUGCUUUUGAAUCAGAAAAUCUCACGAGGUGUCAAGAUGUUACAGGGAGAACCGACUUCUGGACCAUUUAUAGCGAUAUUACCUUUUCAUCUUUCCAUGUCAGCUCUUCCUAUCAGAGGAGUUGUGCAGCAGAAUUCACCAAGUGUUUGAUUGUUCAAUAGGGAACGUGAGCUGGAUUUAGACUGGGUUUAGAGGCAGGCUAGCUUUAUC